GACGAACGCUGGCGGCGUGCUUAACACAUGCAAGUCGAACGGAAAGGCCCUGCUUUUGUGGGGUGCUCGAGUGGCGAACGGGUGAGUAACACGUGAGUAACCUGCCCUUGACUUUGGGAUAACUUCAGGAAACUGGGGCUAAUACCGGAUAGGAGCUCCUGCUGCAUGGUGGGGGUUGGACAGUUUCGGCGGUUGGGGCUGGACUCGCGGCUUAUCAGCUUGUUGGUGGGGUAGUGGCUUACCAAGGCUUUGGCGGGUAGCCGGCCUGAGAGGGUGACCGGCCACAUUGGGACUGAGAUACGGCCCAGACUCCUACGGGAGGCAGCAGUGGGGAAUAUUGCACAAUGGGCGGAAGCCUGAUGCAGCAACGCCGCGUGCGGGAUGACGGCCUUCGGGUUGUAAACCGCUUUCGCCUGUGACGAAGCGUGAGUGACGGUAAUGGGUAAAGAAGCACCGGCUAACUACGUG
Molecule: ribosomal RNA, 468 nt
Filed under: uncultured bacterium
Lineage: Bacteria
Description: partial 16S ribosomal RNA
Rfam family: Bacterial small subunit ribosomal RNA
Source: RNAcentral